CUAGUUUGAAAGUUAUUGAUAGCAGCCCUGUUCUAAGCUACAAAUCUCAUGGGAGAAUACCAUAUAUGUUUGUGUAAGGUUUAAUAGUUACUGGUCUCAUGAAAGAAAAGCCAUCUUCUUCCAACAGUAUCCAUUUACAUACCUUUCCAAUCUUAAAGUAUAGUAUAUCUUACAAAAGUUUAUAUUGCUCUCCCCCCUUGGGUGACAGUGUGUGAACAGUUACUCACCUGUAUUCCCAUAUGCACCUUAUUCUUUUUAAAUACAUGUUUAUUAACUCCCAGGUAGCCUAGAGAAAUACAUCCAAGUUUUAGUAAUUGCUCAAUGAAGAUAAAAUUCAUUCUUCUCCUCUGGUAGAUCCAGCUUUGCAAGUCUUCAUUUAAUUUGCUGUAGAGCCCGUCCUUUGGUCUUGAUGGGAAGAGUAAAUGCAAAAAUGGCAUGCACAACACAGACAGCACGGCUCCAGCAGCUGCCCCUCUGGCAGGGCAGAGCAGUUCAUCUUGGCAAUGCGCUGCAGGGUGGGCAGAGCAGCCUCAGGGUUCCUGGUGGAGCACUGAACUGAGAAGACUGGGGAAUAAACUUGAAGGCCAGGAUGAGGAUGAUGCCCAGGAUGGAGGCAAUGUGGAAGAGCCGGGGCCACCCCACAGUGGGGGUGAUCACUGAGGACAAGCCAAUGAUGAGCAGUGAGCCAGCAAGCUAGAAAACCUGAGACAGGGGAGCAUGUAGCCUUGAUAUUUUGUGGGCAGAAAUAGUCUUUGUAAUUAGCCCUUGUGCGUGGCCGGACAUGCCACAGCCCACCAUGGUCCGCAGAAAGACAAACCAGAUGUAUGUGGGAGCAAAUGAACUCAGCAAGAAAUAGGCACCCCACGAGAAGGACAGGAACAAAAUCUUCCAGCAACCCUAUCUGGCAGCCAAGAGCCCAAAGAGGAGUCUGGAUCCCAUGUAGCUGAAAAACACCAUCGUGGUCACCAACACCACCUGCCAGUUCUCCAGGUGCCAUUUGCAGCAGAUGACAGGAGACACCACUGUGAUCAACAUGAUCUCCAUGGCCACAACAACAGUUCUGGAGUCUGUGAGUCCUACAUCGAGGCCCCACCAGGUUUCGCUGCUUGGCAAGGGCUAUAUCCUCUGGGAGGGAAUGGACACAGCACACCCACAGCCAAGG
RNAcentral lists this long non-coding RNA (1162 nucleotides) under Fukomys damarensis (Damara mole-rat). RNAcentral describes it as "lncRNA (ENSFDAG00000029273.1)". Lineage: Eukaryota; Metazoa; Chordata; Mammalia; Rodentia; Bathyergidae. The record is from RNAcentral.